This 484-nucleotide ribosomal RNA is filed under the name uncultured bacterium. RNAcentral's name for it is "partial 16S ribosomal RNA". It matches the Rfam family "Bacterial small subunit ribosomal RNA", at positions 30 to 507 of the family's 1533-position model. The record is from RNAcentral.
AUUGAACGCUGGCGGCAGGCCUAACACAUGCAAGUCGAGCGGAUGAAGGGAGCUUGCUCCUGGAUUCAGCGGCGGACGGGUGAGUAAUGCCUAGGAAUCUGCCUGGUAGUGGGGGAUAACGUCCGGAAACGGGCGCUAAUACCGCAUACGUCCUGAGGGAGAAAGUGGGGGAUCUUCGGACCUCACGCUAUCAGAUGAGCCUAGGUCGGAUUAGCUAGUUGGUGGGGUAAAGGCCUACCAAGGCGACGAUCCGUAACUGGUCUGAGAGGAUGAUCAGUCACACUGGAACUGAGACACGGUCCAGACUCCUACGGGAGGCAGCAGUGGGGAAUAUUGGAACAUGGGCGAAAGCCUGAUCCAGCCAUGCCGCGUGUGUGAAGAAGGUCUUCGGAUUGUAAAGCACUUUAAGUUGGGAGGAAGGGCAGUAAGUUAAUACCUUGCUGUUUUGACGUUACCAACAGAAUAAGCACCGGCUAACUUCGUG